GCCGAAAUAGCUCAGUUGGGAGAGCGCACGUUCGACUGAAGAUCUAAGGUCCCUGGUUCAAUCCGGGUUUCGGCG
Molecule: transfer RNA, 75 nt
Filed under: Trichonephila inaurata madagascariensis
Lineage: Eukaryota; Metazoa; Arthropoda; Arachnida; Araneae; Nephilidae
Rfam family: tRNA
About the family: Transfer RNA (tRNA) molecules are approximately 80 nucleotides in length. Their secondary structure includes four short double-helical elements and three loops (D, anti-codon, and T loops).
Source: Rfam by way of RNAcentral